Molecule: ribosomal RNA, 497 nt
Filed under: uncultured bacterium
Lineage: Bacteria
Description: partial 16S ribosomal RNA
Rfam family: Bacterial small subunit ribosomal RNA
Source: RNAcentral
GAUGAACGCUGGCGGCGUGCCUAAUACAUGCAAGUCGAGCGAACGGACGAGAAGCUUGCUUCUCUGAUGUUAGCGGCGGACGGGUGAGUAACACGUGGAUAACCUACCUAUAAGACUGGGAUAACUUCGGGAAACCGGAGCUAAUACCGGAUAAUAUUUUGAACCGCAUGGUUCAAAAGUGAAAGACGGUCUUGCUGUCACUUAUAGAUGGAUCCGCGCUGCAUUAGCUAGUUGGUAAGGUAACGGCUUACCAAGGCAACGAUGCAUAGCCGACCUGAGAGGGUGAUCGGCCACACUGGAACUGAGACACGGUCCAGACUCCUACGGGAGGCAGCAGUAGGGAAUCUUCCGCAAUGGGCGAAAGCCUGACGGAGCAACGCCGCGUGAGUGAUGAAGGUCUUCGGAUCGUAAAACUCUGUUAUUAGGGAAGAACAUAUGUGUAAGUAACUGUGCACAUCUUGACGGUACCUAAUCAGAAAGCCACGGCUAACUACGGG